GUAGCCGGCCUGAGAGGGUGAACGGCCACAUUGGGACUGAGACACGGCCCAAACUCCUACGGAAGGCAGCAG
RNAcentral lists this ribosomal RNA (72 nucleotides) under uncultured bacterium. RNAcentral describes it as "partial 16S ribosomal RNA". It matches the Rfam family "Bacterial small subunit ribosomal RNA", at positions 283 to 354 of the family's 1533-position model. The record is from RNAcentral.